AGAAUAAUAAUUUAUCUUCCGAGAGGUAAAAAAUGAGUAGAAAUCAGUUGUAUAGGUGUGGUAAGCAAGGUUUUCUGUAACCACAAGGACAAAGGUUCAGAUCCUCGUAAACAAAGGUUCAAAUUUGUGGGGGCACUUGCUCCCUCAGCAUUAGCCGGCUCCGCCCCCGCCCCUGCUAACAUUCCUUUUUCUUCUUUUCUUAAAAAUCUUGAUUUUGAUUGUGAAAAGUUUGAGAAAAAGAACGGAACAAAGAAAAUAAGGGGGAAAAAAAUGAAGGUCGAUAAUCUAACUAGUAACCAGUAAAGAGACGAAGUUCCCAAUUCAUAAGAAGUUUUCAGAAUAUGCUUUCUCAUUAUCCUCUUUCUUUCAUGUUUCAUACUUACCAGAUUCCAGCGCUGAAAUUUCAUGGGUUUUCCUGUUUUUCUGGUUUGCUAUUAAUGUCAAAGUUCGAACUUCAAUUUGCUUGGAGAGGAAUAGCAGAUAUUUUAUUGAUAUUCAACAAGUGUGGUAUGGAAAUAUUUUUACAUAGUGAUAUUCUUCAACUGGAACAUUGUUAUUGCCAUCAAUCAUAUUAUGCUUCACAUCCUCUUCCUCCUUUAUGUUUCUAUACCAGCUUUUUACAUGGUGUAGUGACCCAAAUCAAGCAAAUGCCCCUUUACCAACAUUUUCUCUUUCAACUUUGGAUGAAGAAUGUGAAAGAAAUACUGGGUGCUCUGCUAGAGUGGGAUCCAGCCCUGUCAAUGGUGGGAUUGGGGUGAGGAUUAUCAAAGAAUUGAACAAGCUAGAGUGCAGAAUGCUAGGACUAAUUGGGUCAAAUGCACACACACCUUGAUUAGCCCCAUUUCGGUGCCACAUAGGACAAUGUCAUUGGCAGUGAGGAGGCUUGUUAUUCUGCUGCCUGCUGAUAACCUCCCUGCUUUCUGCUGUGUCCCCCUCAACCAUAUCU
This is a long non-coding RNA of Vitis vinifera (wine grape), 946 nucleotides long. RefSeq lists it as uncharacterized. The record is from RefSeq and is a predicted model, not a curated record. The transcript is spliced from 2 exons. NCBI's taxonomy places the organism in Eukaryota, Viridiplantae, Streptophyta, Magnoliopsida, Vitales, Vitaceae.